CACGUGAGCAAUCUGCCCCAAAGACUGGGAUAACACCGGGAAACCGGUGCUAAUACCGGAUACCCCCAUCUGAUCGCAUGGUCGGAUGAAGAAAUGGAUUCCGCUUUGGGAGGAGCUCGCGGCCUAUCAGCUUGUUGGUGGGGUAAUGGCCUACCAAGGCUUCUACGGGUAGCUGGUCUGAGAGGACGAUCAGCCACACUGGGACUGAGACACGGCCCAGACUCCUACGGGAGGCAGCAGUGGGGGAUCUUGCGCAAUGGGCGAAAGCCUGACGCAGCAACGCCGCGUGAGGGACGAAUGCUUUCUGAGUUGUAAACCUCUUUCAGCAGGGACGAUAAUGACGGUACCUGCAGAAGAAGCACCGGCCAACUACGUGCCAGCAGCCGCGGUGAUACGUAGGGUGCAAGCGUUGUCCGGAUUUAUUGGGCGUAAAGAGCUCGUAGGCGGUUUGAUAAGUCGGGUGUGAAACCUCCAGGCUCAACCUGGAGACGCCACUCGAUACUGUCAUGACUAGAGUUUGGUAGGGGACCACGGAAUUCCUGGUG
RNAcentral lists this ribosomal RNA (545 nucleotides) under uncultured Actinomycetes bacterium. RNAcentral describes it as "bacterial SSU rRNA". It matches the Rfam family "Bacterial small subunit ribosomal RNA", at positions 114 to 675 of the family's 1533-position model. The record is from RNAcentral. Lineage: Bacteria; Bacillati; Actinomycetota; Actinomycetes.